CCGGCUCUCGCGGGAGGCGUGGCCCACGGGCCCGGGGGGCUCCGCGGGUCUGGAGCGGAGCGGGGCGGCGGUUCUCUUCGCACGAGGGUCCUUCCCGCUUCGCGGCUCCGUCCCGCGGAGACGGAGCCAGAGACGGAGCGAGCUUCCAGCCGCGUCCGCCGGCCCGGGGGCCCGAGAGUGAGAACGCUGGCCGGGCGUCCCGGUCGCCGGUCGCCGGUCGCCGGUCGCCGGGGCUCGAGGGCCGGCCCGAGCGUGCAGGUCGCGCGCGUGCUCGGGACUGAGCCCGGACCUGAAGCUGCAGCUCCGUGUCCAGACCGGAGGUGAGCGGGGCCGCUGUCCUGUCCGGCAGCCCCGGGUGGCGGGUGCGCGGGGAGGCCGGGAACGGUGCCCGCGCCUCGCCGCCGCCACGGGGCUCGGCCUCGUGUCCCGGCUGCCUUCCCGCUCGCACAGCACCUGACCCUGCGGGCCUCAGCCCCGGGGCCCCUCCCGAAAGCGUCUGCUUUCAUCCGCCGGGCGACGUCGCUGCCUCCUCCACCGAGGGUGGCCACACGGGGGUGGCGGGGCUCCGCGCUCUGGAAGGUCGUUCCCACGGAAGACCCCGCCUGCUGCCUGGCCCGUCCGGUGCCGCCCGCCAUCCCAGGGCUUCGGUACGGCAUUUGUCACGGGGCCUUGGGACACCUGAUUUUUUUGUUUCUAUUUCCUGGUUUUCUCUGGGACACUCGGAGGCGAUCUCGUCCUUCCCGUGCGUCUGUCUCACCCAUCCGCGGGCGUUCAGGACGCGUGGGGCAGACGUUGGACGAUACCAGAGGCCCCGCAGAGUGGCAUCCUGGGAGUGCUCCUAGCUCCCGGGCCGGCCGUCCCCCGGUGUCCCUCCCCCACCUCGAGCUCCGAUCCCUCCCCCACCCGCCCCUACCCUGGCUUCCCUGAAUUUCUCACCAAGGACUCCCGCCCCUUAGGUCUUUCCCUCCUGCGGGCUGGGGCUGCUCUUAGUCUGCAGAACUGUGAAUGCCCUAAUCAUUGUAAGUGACAUUCAUAACCUUUUCCAGGAGGUCGUAGGAUUCUUGAGGUCAGGGAUUAUAUCUUAAACUUAGUGUUUUUUUCAGUUAUUCAUAAUUUAUUGCAGUCAUAGGCACAUUAUAAAUGUUCAGCAAGGACUGAUGGCUUCGUUUCAGGGAUUGAUCUGGCUUCCUAGGGGAAGCUUCCUUGGCUAGAAUAAAGACGGUAGAUGACUCCCUGCAGCCUCAACACGCAGCUCCCUGGACGGCCCCCUCAAGCCCCCGCCCACACCUCAUGCAUCAUACGAUUGACUCUUACCCUGCGGAUGAACCGUGUGAAUGCGCAGUAGCUACACGUACGGUGAGAGCCCAUCACCGUGCUGCUGGCGAUGAUUGCCAACAGCCAGUUCUGCCGAGGACUUGCCUGCAGUGUGUCAGGCGUUGUGCUAAAUACUUUCCACGUAGGGAGGAUACGCUGCCUGCUGCCUUCUCAGAUGAAGAAAUCAGGAUUUCCAGAGGUGAAGUAAUUUCCCCACGUCACAUCAUGAACUAACGGCAGAGCUGGAACAGAAGAGCAGUUCUGCCUGCUGCGCAGCUAACCUGUAAACAAAAUGUUGAUGAUGAAUUUUGAUUUCCUUCUCUGCGCCCUUCUCA
Mustela lutreola (European mink) is the source of this 1649-nucleotide long non-coding RNA. RefSeq lists it as uncharacterized. The record is from RefSeq and is a predicted model, not a curated record. The transcript has 2 exons. Lineage: Eukaryota; Metazoa; Chordata; Mammalia; Carnivora; Mustelidae.